UUGAUCAUCAACAGCUUCUUCACAUUCUCCGUAACUUUGGUCUACGGGAUACUGCUCUCUCCUGGUGCUCCUCCUACCUCUCCCAGCGCUCUUUCAGUGUUUCUUUCUCUGGCUCUGCUUCUUCUCCCCAACCCCUCUGUCCCCAUCCCCCAAGGUUUUGUCCUCGGCCCCCUACUGUUCUCUAUCUAUGCUGCCUCCAUUGGUAAACUCAUCAGCUCCUUUGGCUUCCAAUACCAUUUAUAUGCAGAUGACACGCAAAUCUACCUGUCCUACCCUGAUCUCUCUCUGCCCACCUUGACUCGUGUUUCUG
RNAcentral lists this long non-coding RNA (310 nucleotides) under Pelobates cultripes (western spadefoot toad). Lineage: Eukaryota; Metazoa; Chordata; Amphibia; Anura; Pelobatidae. The record is from RNAcentral.